CCCAACCCCACAUUGACAGCCCAAAAGGACGAAGGCAAGGAAGGCAGCAGGUCCGGAUAGAAUCUGCUCCAGACUGCUGCAGGACUGUACAGAACAGCUUUGUCAGUGACAUCAUAUACCUGUGAGGACGCUGAUGAUGGAGCAAAGGUCUCAGAUGCUGAGACAGAUGCGACUGUCUAAAUCUGAUCGGCACAGAGAGGACUAUGCAUCUCUUUAAAAAGAGACCAAGACCAGAGUCAGCCCCAUCCCUCACCCCACCCCACUCCAAACAAACUUUAGAUAAUCUCUCACAUGGAUUUUCAUUUCUGCCCC
This is a long non-coding RNA of Oreochromis aureus, 312 nucleotides long. RefSeq lists it as uncharacterized. The record is from RefSeq and is a predicted model, not a curated record. Lineage: Eukaryota; Metazoa; Chordata; Actinopteri; Cichliformes; Cichlidae. The transcript has 3 exons.